Molecule: ribosomal RNA, 468 nt
Filed under: uncultured bacterium
Lineage: Bacteria
Description: partial 16S ribosomal RNA
Rfam family: Bacterial small subunit ribosomal RNA
Source: RNAcentral
GACGAACGCUGGCGGCGUGCUUAACACAUGCAAGUCGAACGGAAAGGCCCUGCUUUUGUGGGGUGCUCGAGUGGCGAACGGGUGAGUAACCCGUGAGUAACCUGCCCUUGACUUUGGGAUAACUUCAGGAAACUGGGGCUAAUACCGGAUAGGAGCUCCUGCUGCAUGGUGGGGGUUGGAAAGUUUCGGCGGUUGGGGAUGGACUCGCGGCUUAUCAGCUUGUUGGUGGGGUAGUGGCUUACCAAGGCUUUGACGGGUAGCCGGCCUGAGAGGGUGACCGGCCACAUUGGGACUGAGAUACGGACCAGACUCCUACGGGAGGCAGCAGUGGGGAAUAUUGCACAAUGGGCGGAAGCCUGAUGCAGCAACGCCGCGUGCGGGAUGACGGCCUUCGGGUUGUAAACCGCUUUCGCCUGUGACGAAGCGUGAGUGACGGUAAUGGGUAAAGAAGCACCGGCUAACUACGUG